RNAcentral lists this ribosomal RNA (207 nucleotides) under uncultured bacterium. RNAcentral describes it as "partial 16S ribosomal RNA". It matches the Rfam family "Bacterial small subunit ribosomal RNA", at positions 568 to 774 of the family's 1533-position model. The record is from RNAcentral.
UAUGUAGGCGGUUUGGAAAGUCAGGUGUGAAAUCCCGGGGCUCAACCCCGGAACUGCACCCGAUACUCCCAGACUAGAGUAGUGGAGGGGUGACUGGAAUUCUCGGUGUAGCAGUGAAAUGCGUAGAUAUCGAGAGGAACACUCGUGGCGAAGGCGAGUCACUGGACACUUACUGACGCUGAGAUACGAAGGCCAGGGUAGCGAAAG